UACGGGAGGCAGCAGUGGGGAAUAUUGCACAAUGGGCGAAAGCCUGAUGCAGCUAUGCCGCGUGUAUGAAGAAGGCCUUAGGGUUGUAAAGUACUUUCAUCGGGGAGGAAAAAACAAAACUAAUAAUUUUAUUUCUUGACGUUACCCGAAAAAGAAGCACCGGCUAACUCCGUGCCAGCAGCCGCGGUAAUACGGAGGGUGCUAGCGUUAAUCAGAAUUACUGGGCGUAAAGAGCACGUAGGCGGUUUUUUUAAGUCAGAUGUGAAAUCCCUGGGCUUAACCUGGAACUGCAUUUUGAAACUGAAAUACUAGAGUAUCGUAGAGGGAGGUAGAAUUCUAGGUGUAGCGGUGAAAUGCGUAGAUAUCUGGAGGAAUACCUGUGGCGAAAGCGGCCUCCUAAACGAAUACUGACACUGAGGUGCGAAAGCGUGGGGAGCAAACAGGGAUUAGAUACC
This 455-nucleotide ribosomal RNA is filed under the name uncultured bacterium. RNAcentral describes it as "bacterial SSU rRNA". It matches the Rfam family "Bacterial small subunit ribosomal RNA", at positions 340 to 786 of the family's 1533-position model. The record is from RNAcentral.